This 440-nucleotide ribosomal RNA is filed under the name uncultured bacterium. RNAcentral describes it as "partial 16S ribosomal RNA". It matches the Rfam family "Bacterial small subunit ribosomal RNA", at positions 338 to 795 of the family's 1533-position model. The record is from RNAcentral.
CCUACGGGUGGCAGCAGUGGGGAAUAUUGCACAAUGGGGGAAACCCUGAUGCAGCGACGCCGCGUGUAGGAAGACGGUCCUCUGGAUUGUAAACUACUGUCCCCAGGGACGAAGAUGACGGUACCUGGGGAGGAAGCUCUGGCUAACUACGUGCCAGCAGCCGCGGUAAUCCGUGGGGAGCGAGCGUUGUCCGGAAUUACUGGGGGUAAAGGGAGCGUAGGCGGGGAGGCAAGUUGGAUGUUAAGUCUACCGGCUCAACUGGUAGUCGCACUCAAAACUACAGCUCUUGAGUGAAGGAGAGGCAGGCGGAAUUCCUAGUGUAGCGGUGAAAUGCGUAGAUAUUAGGAGGAACACCAGUAGCGAAGGCGGAUUGCUGGACAGUAACUGACGCUGAGGCGCGAAAGCGUGGGGAGCAAACAGGAUUAGAUACCCGUGUAGUC